GAAAGGUUAAAGGAGAAAAAUUUUUAGUGGCAAAUUUUCUCCUAUAAGGUGGUCAAGAGGAAAACACUUCAUGUUAGCCAAAUUACACAUGAUCAGAUAAUUAACAGCUGUGAUACUGCAAUCUUGUAAUUUAUGGAGUUUUUAUUUCUGUCAUCCACAUUUAUGAUUGAGUUGAUUGAGAUUUUAAGUGUGCACAAUAGUAAAUCAUUGUGCUAAACCAUGGUCAGUUGAGAAUUAAUUUUCUGUAAACCUCCUUGUGCAUGCAUUUCCAUACAUGUUUUUGUGUUUAUUACAUAUUUCAGUUGCAAAUUAUAUGAUCUUAUUUAAUGAUAGUGAGUUUCUAGAAGAUUCAUUUCAUAUCAUAAAGGUUUUCAGACUGAGAUGCUGUCUGAAUUUAGAAGUUCUCUUUUCCAGGCAGGUAGAAACCUU
RNAcentral lists this unclassified non-coding RNA (429 nucleotides) under Hevea brasiliensis (rubber tree). Lineage: Eukaryota; Viridiplantae; Streptophyta; Magnoliopsida; Malpighiales; Euphorbiaceae. The record is from RNAcentral.